UGGGCGUAAGCGCGCGCAGGCGGUUUCUUAAGUCUGAUGUGAAAGCCCACGGCUCAACCGGGGAGGGUCAUUGGAAACUGGAAAACUUGAGUGCAGAAGAGGAAAGUGGAAUUCCAUGUGUAGCGGUGAAAUGCGCAGAGAUAUGGAGGAACACCAGUGGCGAAGGCGGCUUUCUGGUCUGCAACUGACGCUGAUGUGCGAAAGCGUGGGGAUCAAACAGGAUUAGAUACCC
This 232-nucleotide ribosomal RNA is filed under the name Staphylococcus intermedius. RNAcentral's name for it is "partial 16S ribosomal RNA". It matches the Rfam family "Bacterial small subunit ribosomal RNA", at positions 555 to 787 of the family's 1533-position model. The record is from RNAcentral. Lineage: Bacteria; Bacillati; Bacillota; Bacilli; Caryophanales; Staphylococcaceae.